AUUUAUGUAUUUAACUAAUCAAAUUUGUAUUAUUUACAGACAACCAAUGUCCAUGUCAAAAGAGCGUCUAUUCUUCAAGCUCUCUUUACCUACCUUGGUGAGGAUGAGGCAUGCCUGGUGAAAGAAUACAUGGGCAAUCAAAAAGAAGAAUUUUUGAAGGACCUGACAAACACCGCCAUGGCCAUAUGUGUCAUCAAAAA
This is a non-coding RNA of Danio rerio (zebrafish), 200 nucleotides long. The record is from RefSeq and is a predicted model, not a curated record. Lineage: Eukaryota; Metazoa; Chordata; Actinopteri; Cypriniformes; Danionidae.